RNAcentral lists this ribosomal RNA (253 nucleotides) under uncultured bacterium. Its description in RNAcentral is "partial 16S ribosomal RNA". It matches the Rfam family "Bacterial small subunit ribosomal RNA", at positions 524 to 776 of the family's 1533-position model. The record is from RNAcentral.
UACGUAGGGGGCUAGCGUUGUCCGGAAUCAUUGGGCGUAAAGCGCGUGUAGGCGGCUCGGUAAGUCAGAGGUGAAAUCCCGGAGCUCAACUUCGGAAUUGCCUCCGAUACUGCCGUGCUUGAGGACUGGAGAGGAGAUUGGAAUUCACAGUGGAGCAGUGAAAUGCGUAGAUAUUGUGAGGAACACUAGUGGCGAAGGCGAAUCUCUGGACAGUUCCUGACGCUGAGGCACGAAGGCCAGGGGAGCAAACGGG